Molecule: long non-coding RNA, 698 nt
Organism: Stegodyphus dumicola
Lineage: Eukaryota; Metazoa; Arthropoda; Arachnida; Araneae; Eresidae
Source: RefSeq, a predicted model, not a curated record
CAUGCUUUUUGAAGCUCUUCAUUAUCUUCUUUGUUAAAGUUUUAUAUAAAAGGAUCAUAUAAAGACAAAUUUUCAUACUGGGAUUAAUUUUCUGCAUCAAACACAUGGAGCUCUUACGACGUUCUUUGCUUCUUCUCUUGGCUGUGGCAACAGCUGCGCUUACCAUUAUCGAGGCUGUGCCUGUGCCUCAGCCAACUCAAGCACCCAUACUUGAAGUACCACCAGUAGCUGGGAUGUAGAAAACAUAUUAAAAUUAAUUCUGAUGCUUGUAAGGAUUUGGGUGUUCAUUUCUUUUACUGCGAAAAACAUCUACUGUCUACUUAAUCUUGCCUACUCUACUGCCUGCUUAUUCUACCGGUUUCUACUUUGUGUAAUGUCAGAAUAUGAUUUUCUGCAUCAAUAUAAAAUGCUUCAGCUGAAGCCGAAGAUUAUUGAAAGCUGAGAAAAAUCAGUUGUAAAAUAUUUUCUUUAUAACUAAAAUAUCUCUUUGAAUAAAGUCAAUUAAAAUUUAUAGAUUUUUUUCAAAUUUACAGGAAUUUUAAAAAUAUGUUAUAAUAAAAUAUUCUGUGAUGUACAAAAAAUUUAUAUUUUGUUUUAUUAUUCUUGAUAUAAUUGCAAUUAAGGAUUAUUUAACUUAACUGAUGUAAACUUCUCUGUGUCAAGCUGAACAAACAUUUAAUUAAAAAAAAACAAAAAAA